GUGGGGAAUAUUGGACAAUGGGCGAAAGCCUGAUCCAGCCAUGCCGCGUGAGUGAUGAAGGCCUUAGGGUUGUAAAGCUCUUUCAGUAGGGAAGAUAAUGACGGUACCUACAGAAGAAGCCCCGGCUAACUUCGUGCCAGCAGCCGCGGUAAUACGAAGGGGGCUAGCGUUGUUCGGAUUUACUGGGCGUAAAGCGCACGUAGGCGGAUUGGUCAGUUAGGGGUGAAAUCCCAGAGCUCAACUCUGGAACUGCCCUUAAUACUGCCAAUCUAGAGUCCGGAAGAGGUGAGUGGAACUCCUAGUGUAGAGGUGGAAUUCGUAGAUAUUAGGAAGAACACCAGUGGCGAAGGCGGCUCACUGGUCCGGUACUGACGCUGAGGUGCGAAAGCGUGGGGAGCAAACAGGAUUAGAUACCCCGGUAGUCC
This 425-nucleotide ribosomal RNA is filed under the name uncultured bacterium. RNAcentral describes it as "partial 16S ribosomal RNA". It matches the Rfam family "Bacterial small subunit ribosomal RNA", at positions 354 to 796 of the family's 1533-position model. The record is from RNAcentral.